AGGCUGGACUCCAGCAUGAGCACGACAGCGCACUGCCAUAGCACCUCGAGGUUCAUAUGCGCAUCAUCUAGGUUCAUAUGCGCAUCAUCGAGGCUGCACUGCGUCUGCUUCGCGAUGUCGAAGUAGGUCGCCAGGAUGGCCAUCUUGAGGUCCCCUGCACGGUAGCCAAACCCCCUGGGCCAGCAUGUUGAUGGAGUCUACGGCAGCCGAUGCGCGACGACGAAGGCCUUCCGGAUGCGCAUGCAGUUCAAGCGCCGGAUGUUGUGGCCCACCCAGUCGCGAAGGACGGACCGGCGUGGAACGCGGCCGAGAGGUCGGAACUCGGAAGAGGAGAAGCGCUUGGAGAAGGUGGAGAGGUCGCCCGGGCGGAUUGAGGUCUCGUAGCUGUACACCUCGACAAGUCGCCGCAGGAUCUGAAUCCAGCGAGGCGAGAGAGGAUUAGGCCUGGCGGCUGGGAGGAGGAGAGAAGGGAGGAGAUGGG
RNAcentral lists this long non-coding RNA (481 nucleotides) under Triticum aestivum (bread wheat). Its description in RNAcentral is "long non-coding RNA (TAES_LNC011082)". Lineage: Eukaryota; Viridiplantae; Streptophyta; Magnoliopsida; Poales; Poaceae. The record is from RNAcentral.